Molecule: RNA transcript, 993 nt
Organism: Hippocampus zosterae (dwarf seahorse)
Lineage: Eukaryota; Metazoa; Chordata; Actinopteri; Syngnathiformes; Syngnathidae
Gene name: cell surface glycoprotein 1-like
Exons: 6
Source: RefSeq, a predicted model, not a curated record
AACAACGAAUGGUCACCGGAAUUAUUUUUCAGUCAUUACAUUGUUUUAGUCUGAAAGAGUAUGUUUCGGGUGUUGUCUUUAUUAUUUGAACUCAGUCAUGUCUGUUGUCCUGAAAUUGUUAGCUAUAAGAGCUGUACAGUGGUAACUACCAUAAAGAGCCGGCUUGUGCUGUGUAUGAAGUUUAAUUUAUUCAAAAGUCAUGUAACUACGACAUAUUUCUGACACUCUAUGGUUGCUAUAAUGUUGAUUUUCAUGAUUUCAGUCAUGCCCUCAUACUUCCCAGUUACUGUAGAAUACUUUUUAGAAUAUUUCUGAUACUGUAAUGUUGCUGAAAAACCUGAGUGUGAUCAGGUGAAAUGACUUUUGUCUGGACCUAACACUGGAGAGCCUGUGUUCGAAUGUCCCGUAAUGGCACCGUAAUGGUGUUAUGUUGCAGACACCAAGUGACGGGAUCUUGACUGAACCUUCUGGAGACCAAGAAGGGAGUGAGAGAUCCACUUCAUCCUUACAACAGACACCAAGUGACCUGACUGAACCCUCUGGAGACCAUGAAUGGAGUGAGAUAUCCACUUCAUUCUUACAACAGACACCAAGUGACCUGACUGAACCCUCUGGAGACCAUGAAUGGAAUGAUAGAUACACUUCAUCCUUACAACAGACACCAAGUGUUCCGAUCCUGAUGAAACCUUUUGAAGAUCAAGAAAGGAGUGGAAGAUCCACUUCUUCCUUACAACAGACACCAAGUGACCUGACUGAACCCUCUGGAGACCAUGAAUGGAAUGAGAGAUAAAUUCUCAAAAUUCUCAAAUUUUCAAAAUUCUCAUUAUUUCCUGGAAUAUCUUAUUUUGAUUAUUUUAUUUUUCCAUUUUUAAUAAAUAAUGCCUUCUUUUACAGGUGGGAAUAAGAGACGCACGUGGACAGAUUAUGAAGUGAAGGCUGUUGAGCGACAUAUGUUUGAUUUCAUAACAAGCCAUAAAGUUUCAGGUAAAACGA